CAGUAGCCGCGGGAAUACGAAGGGGGCUAGCGUCGCUCGGAAUUACUGGGCGUAAAGGGAGCGUAGGCGGACAUUUAAGUCAGGGGUGAAAUCCCGGGGCUCAACCUCGGAAUUGCCUUUGAUACUGGGUGUCUUGAGUAUGAGAGAGGUAUGUGGAACUCCGAGUGUAGAGGUGAAAUUCGUAGAUAUUCGGAAGAACACCAGUGGCGAAGGCGACAUACUGGCUCAUUACUGACGCUGAGGCUCGAAAGCGUGGGGAGCAAACAGGAUUAGAUACCCCAGUAGUCCCUGUCUCUUAUAU
Molecule: ribosomal RNA, 301 nt
Filed under: uncultured bacterium
Lineage: Bacteria
Description: partial 16S ribosomal RNA
Rfam family: Bacterial small subunit ribosomal RNA
Source: RNAcentral